GACGAACGCUGGCGGCGUGCUUAACACAUGCAAGUCGAACGAUGAAGCCUAGCUUGCUAGGUGGAUUAGUGGCGAACGGGUGAGUAAUACGUGAGUAACCUACCUUUAACUCUGGGAUAAGCCUGGGAAACUGGGUCUAAUACCGGAUACGACCAAUCUCCGCAUGGGGUGUUGGUGGAAAGCGUUAUGUAGUGGUUAUAGAUGGGCUCACGGCCUAUCAGCUUGUCGGUGAGGUAACGGCUCACCAAGGCGACGACGGGUAGCCGGCCUGAGAGGGUGACCGGCCACACUGGGACUGAGACACGGCCCAGACUCCUACGGGAGGCAGCAGUGGGGAAUAUUGCACAAUGGGCGCAAGCCUGAUGCAGCGACGCCGCGUGAGGGAUGACGGCCUUCGGGUUGUAAACCUCUGUUAGCAGGGAAGAAGAGAGAUUGACGGUACCUGCAGAGAAAGCGCCGGCUAACUACGUGCCAGCAGCCGCGGUAAUACGUAGGGCGCGAGCGUUGUCCGGAAUUAUUGGGCGUAAAGAGCUUGUAGGCGGUUUGUCGCGUCUGCUGUGAAAGGCCGGGGCUUAACUCCGUGUAUUGCAGUGGGUACGGGCAGACUAGAGUGCAGUAGGGGAGACUGGAAUUCCUGGUGUAGCGGUGGAAUGCGCAGAUAUCAGGAGGAACACCGAUGGCGAAGGCAGGUCUCUGGGCUGUAACUGACGCUGAGAAGCGAAAGCAUGGGGGAGCGAACAGG
RNAcentral lists this ribosomal RNA (742 nucleotides) under Rothia mucilaginosa. RNAcentral describes it as "bacterial SSU rRNA". It matches the Rfam family "Bacterial small subunit ribosomal RNA", at positions 28 to 776 of the family's 1533-position model. Lineage: Bacteria; Bacillati; Actinomycetota; Actinomycetes; Micrococcales; Micrococcaceae. The record is from RNAcentral.